This 561-nucleotide ribosomal RNA is filed under the name Colletotrichum sp. SDY 157. Its description in RNAcentral is "eukaryotic LSU rRNA". It matches the Rfam family "Eukaryotic large subunit ribosomal RNA", at positions 62 to 648 of the family's 3401-position model. Lineage: Eukaryota; Fungi; Ascomycota; Sordariomycetes; Glomerellales; Glomerellaceae. The record is from RNAcentral.
AAACCAACAGGGAUUGCCCUAGUAACGGCGAGUGAAGCGGCAACAGCUCAAAUUUGAAAUCUGGCCCCCGGCCCGAGUUGUAAUUUGUAGAGGAUGCUUCUGGGUAGCGACCGGUCUAAGUUCCUUGGAACAGGACGUCAUAGAGGGUGAGAAUCCCGUAUGCGACCGGCCCGCGCCCUCCACGUAGCUCCUUCGACGAGUCGAGUUGUUUGGGAAUGCAGCUCUAAAUGGGAGGUAAAUUUCUUCUAAAGCUAAAUACCGGCCAGAGACCGAUAGCGCACAAGUAGAGUGAUCGAAAGAUGAAAAGCACUUUGGAAAGAGAGUUAAAAAGCACGUGAAAUUGUUGAAAGGGAAGCGCUUACAACCAGACUUUGAGGCGGUGUUCCGCCGGUCUUCUGACCGGUCUACUCGCCGUCUCGAGGCCAACAUCAUCCGGGACCGCCGGACAAGACCUCAGGAAUGUAGCUCCCCUCGGGGAGUGUUAUAGCCUGUGGUGAUGCGGCGCGUCCCGGGUGAGGUCCGCGCUUCGGCAAGGAUGUUGGCGUAAUGGUUGUCAGCGGC